ACGAACGCUGGCGGCGUGCUUAACACCUGCAAGUCGCACGGAAAGGCCCUGCUUUUGUGGGGUGCUCGAGUGGCGAACGGGUGAGUAACACGUGAGUAACCUGCCCUUGACUUUGGGAUAACUUCAGGAAACUGGGGCUAAUACCGGAUAGGAGCUCCUGCUGCAUGGUGGGGGUUGGAAAGUUUCGGCGGUUGGGGAUGGACUCGCGGCGUAUCAGCUUGUUGGUGGGUAGUGGCUUACCAAGGCUUUGACGGGUAGCCGGCCUGAGAGGGUGACCGGCCACAUUGGGACUGAGAUACGGCCCAGACUCCUACGGGAGGCAGCAGUGGGGAAUAUUGCACAAUGGGCGGAAGCCUGAUGCAGCAACGCCGCGUGCGGGAUGACGGCCUUCGGGUUGUAAACCGCUUUCGCCUGUGACGAAGCGUGAGUGACGGUAAUGGGUAAAGAAGCACCGGCUAACUACGUG
This 466-nucleotide ribosomal RNA is filed under the name uncultured bacterium. RNAcentral's name for it is "partial 16S ribosomal RNA". It matches the Rfam family "Bacterial small subunit ribosomal RNA", at positions 29 to 507 of the family's 1533-position model. The record is from RNAcentral.